UUCCGGUUGAUCCUGCCAGAGGUUACUGCUAUCGGAGUUCGAUUAAGCCAUGCGAGUCUAAAGGUUUCUUCGGAAACCUUGGCGGACUGCUCAGUAACACGUGGAUAACCUACCCUUGGGACUGGAAUAACCCCGGGAAACUGGGGAUAAUACCGGAUAGAUCAGGGAUGCUGGAAUGCACCUUGAUCCAAAGCUCCGGCGCCCAAGGAUGGGUCUGCGGCCUAUCAGGUAGUAGUGGGUGUAACGUACCUACUAGCCAACGACGGGUACGGGUUGUGAGAGCAAGAGCCCGGAGAUGGAUUCUGAGACACGAAUCCAGGCCCUACGGGGUGCAGCAGGCGCGAAACCUUUACAAUGUGCGAAAGCAUGAUAAGGGAACUCCGAGUGCCAGUAUCUAAUACUGGCUGUCCUUGUGCCUAAAACGCACAAGAUAGCAAGGGCCGGGUAAGACCGGUGCCAGCCGCCGCGGUAACACCGGCGGCCCGAGUGGUAGCCGCUAUUAUUGGGUCUAAAGGGUCCGUAGCCGGUUCGAUAAGUCCUCUGGGAAAUCUGGUUGCUUAACAAUCAGACUGCCAAGGGAUACUGUCGAACUUGAGACCGGGAGAGGUAAGAGGUACUUCAGGGGUAGGAGUGAAAUCUUGUAAUCCCUGGGGGACCAUCUGUGGCGAAGGCGUCUUACCAGAACGGGUCUGACGGUGAGGGACGAAAGCUGGGGGCGCAAACCGGAUUAGAUACCCGGGUAGUCCCAGCCGUAAACGAUGCUCGCUAUGUGACAGGUACGGUGUGACCGUAUCUGGUGCCGUAGGGAAGCCGUGAAGCGAGCCACCUGGGAAGUACGGUCGCAAGACUGAAACUUAAAGGAAUUGGCGGGGGGGCACUACAACGGGUGGAGCCUGCGGUUUAAUUGGAUUCAACGCCGGGAA
Molecule: ribosomal RNA, 923 nt
Filed under: uncultured archaeon
Lineage: Archaea
Description: bacterial SSU rRNA
Rfam family: Archaeal small subunit ribosomal RNA
Source: RNAcentral